Balaenoptera ricei (Rice's whale) is the source of this 877-nucleotide long non-coding RNA. RefSeq lists it as uncharacterized. NCBI's taxonomy places the organism in Eukaryota, Metazoa, Chordata, Mammalia, Artiodactyla, Balaenopteridae. The record is from RefSeq and is a predicted model, not a curated record. The transcript is spliced from 4 exons.
CGAGAAGGUCACAGCCCUCCGCAGGAGAGAGCCAUGGGAAGACAAAUAUUACCUGGAGAGACGUGUUGUAGUAGAGGACAGACAGGACUCACCCGGCCAAUGCUCCCAGCAGCCAGGUUUGGGCUUGUCACACGGCACUCGCUUUGGGCAGCUGGUCCCCAUGCAGAAAGAAAGUCUUCUAAGAGUUCGUGCUAGAUCUUAUUGGCCUCCAGAUAUCCACGACCGGAAGGAACCCUCUCCAUUUAAGACAAGAAUUCUUUUUCCUUUGGGAAGGCCAAGUGAAGCAAAUGGUGAUCCCAGGCAGUGAUAUCUGCAACCCAGAGGCUUAAUCCUGACGAGGCUGAUGAAUGUGUGUGUCGAGCUGCUCCUGGCAAACACAGCACCUAUCAGAUAUCACAGCAAAACAACAACAACGACAAAAACGGUUGUUCUUUGGAGUCAGUUUGUUCCUCAUAGGAGGGGUCUAGGUGGAAGGGGCUGACUUUCAAGCCGAGGCAGUGACUUCUGGGUCAGAUGUGUGUCUGGGACACAGGGAUGGGGACAGGAAUGUGUCUGGGAGGGUGGGCAGGGCUUGAUGUCUUUGGAACCAAGCUCCAGAAGGGCAAGGCACCCUCCUGGGGUUAUGACUGGGCCUGGUGAUGGCAACGAGGAAGGGUGUGUUUGCCAUUGAAGUAUUUAAGCAUUGUCUCACCAGUCAGAAAACAAGACUGGCUUGUUGCUUCAUCCUAGCCCAGGGCCCUUCAAACUCAGAUCUCAGCAUGACCCACUCAGGGAAAUGUUCUGAGUUUCUCAGUAGGCGACGUCCAGCCCAACUAGCAAGUCUCCCAACCGUAUUACUGAUUUUGAGAAUUAAAAAAAAAAAAGUUUCUCUUUAUUU